Antechinus flavipes (yellow-footed antechinus) is the source of this 1497-nucleotide long non-coding RNA. RefSeq lists it as uncharacterized. NCBI's taxonomy places the organism in Eukaryota, Metazoa, Chordata, Mammalia, Dasyuromorphia, Dasyuridae. The transcript is spliced from 4 exons. The record is from RefSeq and is a predicted model, not a curated record.
UAGUGAUGAUACGGCCACGCUGAUUGAUAGUAAUUUAGACUGGGAUUUGCCGACUGCAAGCCCACCCUGGCCCUGACCAGGCCCUCGUCGUGCGCCCGAGCCUGGCCACCUACAGCGCCCGCGGGCAUCCCGUCCCCGCGGCUGCCUUCCCAAUGGCGAGCAGACAAGGCCGCGCCGCUCCGCAGCCCGGGCCACAGACUCUGUUUGUUCAACAAAGAAUUAUGGCUGGAUAUCAUCUCCCCUUCCCUUCCCCGCCCCCGCUCCUGGCUCAGUGGGAAGUCAGAGGAAAGAGAUAAAGAAACUGAGGCAAAUAGGGUUAAGUGACUUGUCAAGGAUUACACUGCAUCAGAUUUGAACUCUGAAAGAUUAAUCUUCCUGACUCCAUCUAGCUGCCCCAUGAAGUAUUAGCUCCAAGUCCUCAGACAGAGAUAGAACUUUGGCAGAAUAUUCAAUGUUCGUUUUUUCUCUCUUCCGGAAUUAAUUUACCCUCAAUUGCCUCCUUCCAAAAGAAUUUCCACUUCACAAGUCACAGUUGCUGCUUUUCAAGCUAAGUACUGAAAAUGGACUGCCACAUUAAUAAUACCUAAUUACUUCAAGUUGUACAGCAGAACAAGGUUGAAUUAAAGUCAUGGGAUGACAGAGUUAGAAGGGACCCUAAACCUUUGAACCCAGAGCCUCAGAGCUGGAAAAAGAGGCCCCAUCUACAACAUAAAGUGGUAGAACUUAUUACACAGAGGAUGGAGACCAGCAUGGACUUGAUCCAUCAUCUGGCCCAGUUCCUUCAUUCCACAGAAGAAAAAACAGAGGAGAAUGAAAAAAGAAGAAAUUUGCCUACAGUCACGUAAUGAGUCAUGGCCGGAGCAGAGACUUUCGGCCAUGAGUCCAGCAUUCUCUGCACUAUCUUCCCCACAUAUGGUUUUAUAACCCAAAUCCGUCGGAAUGAUUAUUUAACACAGUAACAAUGAAAUGCUUCCUGACACUUAUCUGCAAAGACACUGCUAUAAUUAAUUUCGCCUUUGCAAUGACUGAAAGAUUGGACAAUAAUUACAUGAGGAGAAGGUGAGUCAUCUAUAUUUGGAAGAAAAUUUAAAAGCCCUAUUUGCCUAUGAACUACAACAUGUCAUUAUUGUCCUGUCAAACAGCCUUGCUUUUGAUUAUGAUUUACAGUGGAACACCUGAAAUUGUUCCUCUUAUACAGGGGCCCCCAGAAAAACACUGUUAGGUUUGAGGCACUCUGGAGUGAGGACCCCCUCAAAACUAGAGUUUCUAAGCCCCUACCAAUGUAUUUAUUUCUAACAAUCAGCCAGAGUACACAUUAAUGGAAAAUAAAACACAUUUAAUGGGACAGUAUAGAAAUUAACAGAACAAGGAAAGAUCCCUUCAUUUCCACAAGGGGUACAUGCAUCCCUAUCCCUGCUUUACUGAUGAAGAAAUUGUCUUAAAAAGGUCAAGUGAUUUAACAGAAGUCAGUAAAUAAAAGACUGGCCUUAAAACCUA